AGAGUUUGAUCCUGGCUCAGAUUGAACGCUGGCGGCAUGCCUUACACAUGCAAGUCGAACGGUAGAGGGGCAACCCUUGAGAGUGGCGAACGGGUGAGUAAUAUAUCGGAACGUGCCCAGUCGUGGGGGAUAACGCAGCGAAAGCUGCGCUAAUACCGCAUACGAUCUAAGGAUGAAAGCGGGGGAUCGCAAGACCUCGCGCGAUUGGAGCGGCCGAUAUCAGAUUAGGUAGUUGGUGGGGUAAAAGCCUACCAAGCCGACGAUCUGUAGCUGGUCUGAGAGGACGACCAGCCACACUGGGACUGAGACACGGCCCAGACUCCUACGGGAGGCAGCAGUGGGGAAUUUUGGACAAUGGGCGCAAGCCUGAUCCAGCAAUGCCGCGUGCAGGACGAAGGCCUUCGGGUUGUAAACUGCUUUUGUACGGAGCGAAACGGUCUGGGUUAAUACCCUGGGCUAAUGACGGUACCGUAAGAAUAAGCACCGGCUAACUACGUGCCAGCAGCCGCGGUAAUAC
This 517-nucleotide ribosomal RNA is filed under the name uncultured Comamonadaceae bacterium. RNAcentral's name for it is "bacterial SSU rRNA". It matches the Rfam family "Bacterial small subunit ribosomal RNA", at positions 8 to 526 of the family's 1533-position model. The record is from RNAcentral. Lineage: Bacteria; Pseudomonadati; Pseudomonadota; Betaproteobacteria; Burkholderiales; Comamonadaceae.